UCUUUGGAUUGAAGGGAGCUC
This 21-nucleotide non-coding RNA is filed under the name Arabidopsis thaliana (thale cress). The record is from RNAcentral. Lineage: Eukaryota; Viridiplantae; Streptophyta; Magnoliopsida; Brassicales; Brassicaceae.